Molecule: ribosomal RNA, 253 nt
Filed under: uncultured bacterium
Lineage: Bacteria
Description: partial 16S ribosomal RNA
Rfam family: Bacterial small subunit ribosomal RNA
Source: RNAcentral
UACAGAGGGGGCAAGCGUUAUUCGGAAUUAUUGGGCGUAAAGGGCGUGUAGGCGGCUUGGCAAGUGGAAGGUGAAAUCCCUCGGCUUAACCGAGGAACUGCCCUCCAAACUGCUUUGCUUGAGGCCGGGAGAGGCGAGUGGAAUUCCCAGUGUAGCGGUGAAAUGCGUAGAUAUUGGGAGGAACACCAGUGGCGAAGGCGGCUCGCUGGACCGGUUCUGACGCUGAUGCGCGAAAGCCAGGGGAGCGAAUGGG